UCUGUGAACAAACCAAAUAAAACAAUCAAUACAUACAUUAUAUCGAUCAAACAAACAAAUGAAAAGUAUAAAUAAGUUUGUUUGUUAUGUUUAGUUGGCGAAAUGACAGCUCCACGUCAGCAGCCGCUCAAGCACCGCCAAACUGCACAACUAAAAUGUAUAUUUCUGCGGGGCGGUGUGGCCCAUGUCUCUCCAUCUGCCACCAUACAAGAACUUUUACAUUACUCUCCAACACCCGAAGAAAUUACCCUUCAACAGCGCAUCAAAAAUGCAGCUGAAAACUUCACCGAUAAGCACAAAAAUGUCAUGAAUACUAUGAGGCAGGAAAUGAUGCCUGAAGAAACCAAUUUUGACGAUGCUAUACACCUUCUCGAGGCGCCAACCCGUCCACAAACCUCGUCACCAGACGUCAUGGAAAAGCAUGCUAAAAAAUUUAAAGCAAUUGAAUCACAAGUUUUUCUCGUCAAAAAUUCAUCCACAUCCAGCGUUUGCUCGAAUAAUUUAACCUACGAUUAUAUGUCUGGGGUGUGGAAGAUGCUACAAUCGGAAAGGGAAGGUGAGGACUUCGUGAUCAGUCCGAAAGGGUACGAGUUCGAUGUGGCGAAAACAAAAUGGGUGCCCAAAUCAGACGAAGUGGUAAAACAAGUUGAAGAAUCCAAACAAAAGUGCGAAGAGUGGCUAACAAAAAAAUGCGACUAUAGUCUCGCUGACAAGCCAGCAAUUCAAAAAUGUAAAUUGCUGCCAAAGAUUAAAAGAAAUCGCAAUAAACUUACUUGAGACGGGGACGAAACGCUGCGUUUCAGCUCGUCUGUCCGCACUUUCAUCGAUGUGGGUGUCAGGUCUUCGGAUUUAACGCGCAACGAGGUGGGGCCAAUCGUAACUUCCGAUUGAUCUGUGGUCCCGCUACUUGUUGUGCCGCCAUCUUCGCUCGGUGUGUGUGGUAUUAUUUGUAGCGUAGGCGGUAUUAAUGGAGGCGGAGGGCUAGCUGACUGAAAUGACUUUACUUUCAAUUAGAUAGUUUUAAGAUAAAAUUGCGGGUAACUUACCAUUUGGCUGGGCAAUAGCGGAUGCGAAUGUUGUUUAACUAGCACAUUUCCUGGCACGGCAAGAUGUGGACCAGGAGGCGGUGAAGCUGAGGUCGGAAAAGGAUCGGACACCUGGCGCUCCACCCUCAAAUGUGGUACCGAUAAAUAGUGCGCGGUGUCGCCAUCAGGAUUAUCGCCUUCUUUCUUAAUCCGUGAUUGCCGCAUAAGAAUUCGACUACGCUUUGAGCCCAGCAUCGUGUUAGUGUACUGCGACGAUUGCGAGAGCUGCGCAUGAGUGGUUAUUAUCACCCUGUCUGAAAUCAAUCCACACUUAUGUUUAGCAUAAACGUUAGAUAAUUAUUUAGUGAAUGUAACAGGUUCCAAAACAAGCACAAAACACCAGUCACAAGAAACAUAAUAUAAUAUAACAAAAUAUAUCCCAUAGUUAAAAA
Dalotia coriaria is the source of this 1477-nucleotide long non-coding RNA. RefSeq lists it as uncharacterized. The record is from RefSeq and is a predicted model, not a curated record. The transcript has 2 exons. Lineage: Eukaryota; Metazoa; Arthropoda; Insecta; Coleoptera; Staphylinidae.